CAGAGUCCAAUUUUGCGACACAAAUGAGACCCUGAAUUCCAAACCUUGGGGAAAAACAGGGAAUUCCGGUGCCAGGAGGAAAAGCUCCCUCCAGGCUCUCGCUCUGCCUGGGCCACCAAGCGCCAAAAUUCCCUUUUUUCCCCAAAUUCCCUGGGAUUUGCCGUGCCAGGAGCGGGCAAUGCCCUCCCUGCAGCUCCUGGAGAUCCCAGCGCUGUUCCGUUCCAGCUGGAGAGAGCAGCAGAGUCCCGGAGGUUGCGCCCGGAGCAGCAUUCCCGGGAUAUUCCCGGGAUAUUCCCGGGAUAUUCCCCAUUCCCAGGGAACCUGGGGGAGCUCUGCCUUCCCAGGGCAUCCCAAAAGAAGCGCUGGAUCUCUCCCUGCACACAAAAACUCCCGCUGGGAAUUUCCCUUCCCUGUUUUCCACAGCUGCACCCCCUCGGCCGCGCAGACAGAUCGGAUUCCCCGAGAAAAUUCCAGAGGCGCUUCCAGUGUUUCAAAGGAAAAUGAAGCCCCUUUGGAAAUGUGAAGCUCCGAGAUAAUGACCGGAUCGCUCCAGGACUGGAUGGGAACAGGUGAUGCUUUUUUCCUUCCUUUCUUGUUCCCAUCUGUCCUUUGUUCCACGGGAGACCGAGGAGAGACAGAAACGAGAUCAUUUUGAUAUUCCCCCUUUUUGUGCAUCCGACUUUUCCCGAGGAGCGCGGACGCGCCUUGGGCCCGCUCCAGGCGCCGCCGGAGCGGGGAUGCGGAAAAACCCCGCUAAAAUCCCGCUAAAAUCCCACCAAAAACCCAAAACUCAACUUUUGAUCUCUUGAAAAUCCCAAAGUGGCCGGGCUGGGGCUGCUCCGACCCCAGCUCCGGAUGGGCCCCCAGGAAGAUGCUCCAGGGACAGCCCGACCCAAAUCCAAAGAAAUCCCUCGAAAAAUGGGAUUUUCUGCUGGGUUUCAGUGGAAUUUUACUCCAGGGGGUUUAAUUCCAGUUUGGGACUUCACCAUAAAUGGAGCCCAACCCGAUUUAUCCCCAUUCCCAAUCCCUUCUCCUGCAAUUUGUGGCCGCUUCAGCCUCUUUCCUCCCCAAAUUCCUUCAAUUCCUCCUCCAAACCCAAUCCCAAGGCAACAAUCCCCUCGGAGAAUCCCAAAUCCCAAAUUCCCGGCAGAAAUCCCCGUGGGGGCUGCACAGGGAAAGACUUGAGCUUCUGUUCCCAUUUUUUUCCCCCCAGUUAGGAGAAUUUGGGCAGGAUUUUCCCUCACUUCUGUGUUGGAUUAGCAAUGAUGGAAUUGGGAAUAUUUCCUGCAAAUAAUCCCAGGUAUCCAGAGUUUUUCCUUAAGGUCUCUUAGUUUGGAAGUCUCCUCAGGAAGAAGAGAUCCUUUUCCUGAGUAUCCCAUUUUAAAAUUUUUUAAGUUAUUUAUUUAGUUCAGAUCAUUUAUUUGAUCUCCCUUUCUCUGCCAAAUAUUCCCCCCCCAAAAAAUCUCCUUUAAGUCCCAACCUGCCACCACUACCCGGGAUUUAUCCUGGAUUUCCAAACAAUC
RNAcentral lists this long non-coding RNA (1523 nucleotides) under Lonchura striata (white-rumped munia). Its description in RNAcentral is "domestica (Bengalese finch) lncRNA (ENSLSDG00000012453.1)". Lineage: Eukaryota; Metazoa; Chordata; Aves; Passeriformes; Estrildidae. The record is from RNAcentral.